GACGAACGCUGGCGGCGUGCCUAAUACAUGCAAGUCGAACGCUGAAGGAGGAUCUUGCUUCUCUGGAUGAGUUGCGCACGGGUGAGUAACGCGUAGGUAACCUGCCUGGUAUCGGGGGAUAACUAUUGGAAACGAUAGCUAAUACCGCAUAUUAGUAGAUGUUGCAUGACAUUUGCUUAAAAGUUGCAAUUGCUUCUCUGCCAGAUGGACCUGCGUUGUAUUGGCUCGUUGGUGUGGUAACGGCUAACCAAGGCGACGAUACAUAGCCGGCAGGAGAGGGGGGAGGGCGAAAAUGGGAAGGGGAAAAGGGACAGAGUCCUGAGGGAGGCAGGAGGAAGGAAUGUUGGGAAAUGGACGGAAGGCUGAAGGAGGAAGGACGGGUGAGUGGAGAAGGAUUUCGGAUCGUAAAGCGCUGUUGUAAGAGAAGAACGAGUGAGAGAGUGGAAAGUAAACACGGUGACGGUAGCGGAAGAGAAAGGGACGGCUAACUACGUG
This 495-nucleotide ribosomal RNA is filed under the name uncultured bacterium. Its description in RNAcentral is "partial 16S ribosomal RNA". It matches the Rfam family "Bacterial small subunit ribosomal RNA", at positions 28 to 507 of the family's 1533-position model. The record is from RNAcentral.